Molecule: transfer RNA, 80 nt
Filed under: Streptomyces griseomycini
Lineage: Bacteria; Bacillati; Actinomycetota; Actinomycetes; Kitasatosporales; Streptomycetaceae
Description: tRNA-Gly
Source: RNAcentral
AGGUCAGGGCCAUAGAGCCCGCCCAAGCGCCGUCGCUUCCCAAGCUGAGAGCGCGAGUUCGAUUCUCGUCACCCGCUCCA